RNAcentral lists this ribosomal RNA (440 nucleotides) under uncultured bacterium. RNAcentral describes it as "partial 16S ribosomal RNA". It matches the Rfam family "Bacterial small subunit ribosomal RNA", at positions 338 to 795 of the family's 1533-position model. The record is from RNAcentral.
CCUACGGGGGGCAGCAGUGGGGAAUAUUGCUCAAUGGGGGAAACCCUGAUGCAGCAACGCCGCGUGGAGGAUGAAGGUUUUCGGUUUGUAAAGUCCUUUUAUUAGGGAAGAUAGUGACGGUAUCUGACGAAUAAGCACCGGCUAACUCCGUGCCAGCAGCCGCGGUAAUACGGAGGGGGCAAGCGUUACUCGGAUUCACUGGGCGUAAAGGGCGCGUAGGCGGGAUAGCAAGUCAGAUGUGAAAGCCUGAGGCUUAACCAUAGAACUGCAUUGGAAACUGCUAGUCUUGAGUAUGGGAGAGGUAGGCGGAAUUCCUGGUGUAGCGGUAAAAUGCGUAGAUAUUAAGAGGAACACCGAUUGCGAAGGCGACUUGCUAGACUAUAACUGACGCUGAUGCGCGAAAGCGUGGGGAGCAAACAGGAUUAGAUACCCCUGUAGUC